ACUAUCGUAGCCCAACAGGUAGAGGCAAGGGUCUUAAAAACCCUACAGUAUUGGGUUCGAAUCCCAUCGGUAGUA
Molecule: transfer RNA, 75 nt
Filed under: Siphoviridae sp. ctFjF5
Lineage: Duplodnaviria; Heunggongvirae; Uroviricota; Caudoviricetes
Also listed under: 1 other name
Description: tRNA-Leu
Rfam family: tRNA
About the family: Transfer RNA (tRNA) molecules are approximately 80 nucleotides in length. Their secondary structure includes four short double-helical elements and three loops (D, anti-codon, and T loops).
Source: RNAcentral